GAUGAAGAACGUAGCGAAAUGCGAUAAGUAAUGUGAAUUGCAGAAUUCAGUGAAUCAUCGAAUCUUUGAACGCACAUUGCGCCCGCCAGUAUUCUGGCGGGCAUGCCUGUUCGAGCGUCAUUUCAACCAUCAAGCCCCCGGCUUGUGUUGGGGACCUGCGGCUGCCGCAGGCCCUGAAAAGCAGUGGCGGGCUCGCUGUCACACCGAGCGUAGUAGCAUACAUCUCGCUCUGGGCGUGCUGCGGGUUCCGGCCGUUAAACCACCUUCAUAACCCAAGGUUGACCUCGGAUCAGGUAGGAAGACCCGCUGAACUUAAGCAUAUCAAUAAGCAGAGGA
RNAcentral lists this unclassified non-coding RNA (336 nucleotides) under soil metagenome. Its description in RNAcentral is "partial contains 5.8S ribosomal RNA, internal transcribed spacer 2, and large subunit ribosomal RNA". The stretch from base 1 to 120 matches the Rfam family "5.8S ribosomal RNA", at positions 35 to 154 of the family's 154-position model. The record is from RNAcentral.